Molecule: ribosomal RNA, 472 nt
Filed under: uncultured bacterium
Lineage: Bacteria
Description: bacterial SSU rRNA
Rfam family: Bacterial small subunit ribosomal RNA
Source: RNAcentral
AGGGUUUGAUUAUGGCUCAGAACGAACGCUGGCGGCAGGCCUAAUACAUGCAAGUCGAGCGCGCCCUUCGGGGUGAGCGGCGGACGGGUGAGUAACGCGUGGGAAUAUGCCCUUCUCUAAGGAAUAGCCUCUGGAAACGGAGAGUAAUACCUUAUACGCCCUUUUGGGGAAAGAUUUAUCGGAGAAGGAUUAGCCCGCGUUAGAUUAGGUAGUUGGUGGGGUAAUGGCCUACCAAGCCUACGAUCUAUAGCUGGUUUGAGAGGAUGAUCAGCCACACUGGGACUGAGACACGGCCCAGACUCCUACGGGAGGCAGCAGUAGGGAAUCUUAGACAAUGGGGGCAACCCUGAUCUAGCCAUGCCGCGUGUGUGAUGAAGGCCCUAGGGUCGUAAAGCACUUUCGCCAGAGAUGAUAAUGACAGUAUCUGGUAAAGAAACCCCGGCUAACUCCGUGCCAGCCGCCGCGGUAAUUC